Dunckerocampus dactyliophorus (ringed pipefish) is the source of this 646-nucleotide RNA transcript. It is a transcript of the gene named cytochrome b-c1 complex subunit 10, with no coding region annotated. The transcript is spliced from 4 exons. Lineage: Eukaryota; Metazoa; Chordata; Actinopteri; Syngnathiformes; Syngnathidae. The record is from RefSeq and is a predicted model, not a curated record.
GGAUCCUUCAUACCUCCAAACGGAAGUCGCUGCAAGCUGCUCGUUGUACGUACCGAGUCACCCAACGAUGUUGAGUAAAGUGAUCGGCCAGAAAUAUGUGGCAGUUGCUAAGUCGUGGGUCCCAACACUGGCUGUAUGGGGAACAGUUGGCGGUGUAGCCAUGAUUCACUUUACAGACUGGCGAUUGUUUUUGGACUAUGUGCCCUAUAUCAGUGGAAAGUUCAAGAAGGAUGAAUAGUGUUGAUCAGGAGGUCCUCUGUUUACAAACAGGUUCCGUUCCUAUGAUUUUUAGUUUGCUGUUGGAGAUUCUGAACAAGGACUGCUGCAGCUGCUGUUUUGCACUGCACUCCAAACCAACUGUAAUUUUCAUCCUGCUGAGGAAACAGCGCUGAGAUGUUCACCACCAACAUCAGUACACUUGGGCUUCAUUAUUGAUAGUUCAUCAAACUAUGAAAUCAUGAGUGGAAAGAAUAUAAAAAUAGAGACAAUGCAUGGACUUUUUAUUUUCUUUCUUCGAACAGUUUGAGGUUCUUAUUUUAAUAAUUAAUUCCACAUGUGCUGUCAUCCAGUCUUGUCUGAUUGACAAAUGUUUCACUCUGCAUUUCAAGCUUCAACUGUUUUGGAAGAGUAAAUGUGAGCUAUCUUG